AUUGAACGCUGGCGGAAUGCUUUACACAUGCAAGUCGAACGGCAGCACGGGGGCAACCCUGGUGGCGAGUGGCGAACGGGUGAGUAAUACAUCGGAACGUGCCCAGUCGUGGGGGAUAACGUAGCGAAAGUUACGCUAAUACCGCAUACGAUCUACGGAUGAAAGCGGGGGACCGUAAGGCCUCGCGCGAUUGGAGCGGCCGAUGUCAGAUUAGGUAGUUGGUGAGGUAAAGGCUCACCAAGCCGACGAUCUGUAGCUGGUCUGAGAGGACAACCAGCCACACUGGGACUGAGACACGGCCCAGACUCCUACGGAAGGCAGCAGUGUGUAAUUUUGGACAAUGGGCGAAAGCCUGAUCCAGCCAUUCCGCGUGCAGGACGAAGGCCUUCGGGUUGUAAACUGCUUUUGUACGGAACGAAAAGGCUCUGGUUAAUACCUGGGGCUCAUGACGGUACCGUAAGAAUAAGCACCGGCUAACUACGUGCCAGCAGCCGCCGUAA
RNAcentral lists this ribosomal RNA (500 nucleotides) under uncultured bacterium. RNAcentral describes it as "partial 16S ribosomal RNA". It matches the Rfam family "Bacterial small subunit ribosomal RNA", at positions 30 to 523 of the family's 1533-position model. The record is from RNAcentral.